Long non-coding RNA from Gadus macrocephalus (Pacific cod), 1056 nucleotides. RefSeq lists it as uncharacterized. The record is from RefSeq and is a predicted model, not a curated record. The transcript has 3 exons. Lineage: Eukaryota; Metazoa; Chordata; Actinopteri; Gadiformes; Gadidae.
GCCUGUCAGAACCGGAGGAGGCAGGGAAGAAAGGCACAGUGUUGUGUGCGUGUGUGUAUGUGUGUUUGGCGUCCGUCUGGAAAGUGGAGCAGCAGCAGCAGCACAUAACAAUUUCUGCUGCUGAAAUGACCUAACUGAACACCGCUGUUACAGGGGGGGGAGACCCGCCAGUCCGCACACAACUCCGCGGGAUAUCGAUCCGGACGCUACACCGAUCCUAACAAGUCAUUGGCCUUAUUUUUCCUCGGAAACUGCCGCAUUUCUUCUCUUUUUCUUGGGGACUGUCACUGUCUGCCCGCGCGUGUGUGUGUGUGUGUGUGUGUGUGUGUGUUCGUAACAACAGACACUUGUAUGGGGGUAGGAGCGGUCUACUCUGAGCGCAUAGGACUCCGCCGAGGAUGCAUGGCCCCGAGUCGAUGCAGUCACUCAUCUCACGGAGAUAAAUAAAGAAAAGCUUUUAUCGGGAGGGAGGGAGGGAGGGCGGGAGGGAAGGGGGUUGGCUUACGCGAAACAACACAUUUGAUACGCUGUCGGCGUUAGCUUGGGCUAACACAGCUGAGGCCGGGUUUGUUGACGGCGGAUCCGGGGCUUCUGACAUGUCUGUGUGAGAACUAAGUCGCAGAAGUAUAAGGCGACGUGUGGGACCGGUUCGUCUGGACACGGGCUGGACUGCGAUCUGUUUCCGCCUUGCAUGCAUUUUGUACACGGCUGGAGGAACUAGUCGGAAAUCGCCUUCUUUCUUUAAGAGAUUUCCUUUUUCUGGACUCUCGACGCCUGGAGAUCUGUUUCUGCAUCAGGGCCAUGCAUCGCCACGCCCACCAGCAGCUGCUGCCCACCUAGAGGCUCCGCCCCUCUCCCCCCCGCCCCACCCCCACCCCCCCCCACCCCUCCCCCAGGCACGCUCGGCGCUCGUUAGGGUCCGCCGCCUGGAGGAUGCUUGGAAUGUGUCGCGGGCGCAGGAAGUUUCUGCUGGCCACCGUCGCCCUGCUCUUCAUCCCCGCCCUUACCUGGCUCUACCUCACGGCCGGGAACUUCCAAGGUGAGUUGAUGUUGACG